UGGGAAGAAGCUUAAUUUGGUGGAAACUGCCGCGAGGUUAUAACUUUAACAAAGGAAAUACUUAUCUUAAUAAUAUAUUAUUAUUAUAAAAUUUAAAUUAAAUAUUUAAUUAUACUUAAUUUAAGAGUAGUUUGUCUGCUAAUAUAAAAAUACAAUAGAAUUAUAUUGUAAUUAGUCAAUUAUAUCUAAAACACCUUUGUUAAGCUAAUUAGUUUCAGUUAAUCCAUUUAAGUAACAUCU
This 240-nucleotide ribosomal RNA is filed under the name Tricholoma lascivum. Its description in RNAcentral is "partial small subunit ribosomal RNA". Lineage: Eukaryota; Fungi; Basidiomycota; Agaricomycetes; Agaricales; Tricholomataceae. The record is from RNAcentral.